UCGCUCAUGCGUAUGGCUUUCCUGAGACUUCUGGUCCCGGGUUGCUGUGGAGUCGGUGCUGCUGCACGCCAGUACCGCAACAGCGAAUCCCCGAGCUGCUCACGUUCCGCUGUCGCUGCCAGGGCUUUUACGCAGCUGGGGGACGGUGCGGGGCUGGGGCUGGAAGGGCCGUUCGCUAAUUCACCGGGGUGGCGAGCAAAUUGCGUGGCACGAGGCGCUGUGGAGCAGCUGUGAGCCCAACCGCUCCGUUCCUUGGUCUGCAGCGACUGCACCAGUUGCUCGAGCUCUUCCCACUGCAGGAGCUCAGAACUGACAAGAACCCUGACCCAAGCAGUGACUUCAGCAAUCCCGCGUUGAGCCGCAGCAGCAAUGGGGCACUGCAGCACGUCAGCGAUCUCUGGCUUGAGGAGCGCAGGGCUGCACGAAGGAUGCACUGCAGCCUCCCUGUUUCUGUGGGGUUUGCACUGCUGUUGGAGCCCAAAGGCCACACGCUGCCAUACAGGCAGGUGCCAGGUUCACCCACUGAGGACACCAAACCCUCCAAUAACAUCACAGUGGCCUUUAAUUGCUGUGUGAGGAGAUGACGCGCAUUUCUCCCUGGGGAGCCGUAAGCUGAGCCCGGCAGCUGGGCAGCCAGCACUCGCUCCAUUGACGCCGCUCAUCUCAGCCCUUGUGCUGCAUGUGCAGCUUCUCAGCACCUCGCUGUAUCAGUAUUGAAGCCUGUGCUCCCCUAUCUAUUAGAAAUGUCACCAAUGGCCAUUGAGGA
This is a long non-coding RNA of Lagopus muta (rock ptarmigan), 766 nucleotides long. RefSeq lists it as uncharacterized. NCBI's taxonomy places the organism in Eukaryota, Metazoa, Chordata, Aves, Galliformes, Phasianidae. The transcript has 3 exons. The record is from RefSeq and is a predicted model, not a curated record.